This 254-nucleotide ribosomal RNA is filed under the name uncultured prokaryote. Its description in RNAcentral is "partial 16S ribosomal RNA". It matches the Rfam family "Bacterial small subunit ribosomal RNA", at positions 524 to 777 of the family's 1533-position model. The record is from RNAcentral.
UACGGAGGAUGCAAGCGUUAUCCGGAUUUAUUGGGUUUAAAGGGUGCGCAGGUUGUUUGAUAAGUCAGUGGUGAAAGUCUGUCGCUUAACGGUAGGAUUGCCAUUGAUACUGUUAGACUUGAAUAUGGAUGAGGUAGGCGGAAUGUGUAGUGUAGCGGUAAAAUGCAUAGAUAUUACACAGAACACCGAUUGCGAAGGCAGCUUACUAAUCCAUCAUUGACGCUGAGGCACGAAAGCGUGGGGAUCAAACAGGA